RNAcentral lists this transfer RNA (76 nucleotides) under Anaerolineaceae bacterium. RNAcentral's name for it is "tRNA-Asn". It matches the Rfam family "tRNA". Rfam says of the family: Transfer RNA (tRNA) molecules are approximately 80 nucleotides in length. Their secondary structure includes four short double-helical elements and three loops (D, anti-codon, and T loops). The record is from RNAcentral. Lineage: Bacteria; Bacillati; Chloroflexota; Anaerolineae; Anaerolineales; Anaerolineaceae.
UCCUUGCUAGCUCAAUUGGCAGAGCGAGCGGCUGUUAACCGCUAGGUUCUAGGUUCAAGUCCUAGGCAAGGAGCCU